This 505-nucleotide ribosomal RNA is filed under the name uncultured bacterium. Its description in RNAcentral is "partial 16S ribosomal RNA". It matches the Rfam family "Bacterial small subunit ribosomal RNA", at positions 28 to 507 of the family's 1533-position model. The record is from RNAcentral.
GACGAACGCUGGCGGCGUGCCUAAUACAUGCAAGUAGAACGCACAGUUUAUACCGUAGCUUGCUACACCAUAGACUGUGGGUUGCGAACGGGUGAGUAACGCGUAGGUAACCUGCCUGGUAGCGGGGGAUAACUAUUGGAAACGAUAGCUAAUACCGCAUAAUAUUAAUUAUUGCAUGAUAAUUAAUUGAAAGGUGCAAUUGCACCACUACCAGAUGGACCUGCGUUGUAUUAGCUAGUAGGUGAGGUAACGGCUCACCUAGGCGACGAUACAUAGCCGACCUGAGAGGGUGAUCGGCCACACUGGGACUGAGACACGGCCCAGACUCCUACGGGAGGCAGCAGUAGGGAAGCUUCGGCAAUGGACGAAAGUCUGACCGAGCAACGCCGCGUGAGUGAAGAAGGUUUUCGGAUCGUAAAGCUCUGUUGUAAGAGAAGAACGGGUGUGAGAGUGGAAAGUUCACACUGUGACGGUAUCUUACCAGAAAGGGACGGCUAACUACGUG